This is a small nuclear RNA of Sorex fumeus (smoky shrew), 103 nucleotides long. NCBI's taxonomy places the organism in Eukaryota, Metazoa, Chordata, Mammalia, Eulipotyphla, Soricidae. The record is from RefSeq and is a predicted model, not a curated record.
GUGCUCGCUUCAGCAGCACAUAUACUAAAAUUGGAAUGAUACAGAGAAGAUUAGCAUGGCCCCUGCACAAGGAUGACAAAUUCAUGAAGCAUUCCAUAUUUUU